GAGUUUGAUCAUGGCUCAGAUUGAACGCUGGCGGCAGGCCUAACACAUGCAAGUCGAGCGGUAGAGAGAAGCUUGCUUCUCUUGAGAGCGGCGGACGGGUGAGUAAUGCCUAGGAAUCUGCCUGGUAGUGGGGGAUAACGCUCGGAAACGGACGCUAAUACCGCAUACGUCCUACGGGAGAAAGCAGGGGACCUUCGGGCCUUGCGCUAUCAGAUGAGCCUAGGUCGGAUUAGCUAGUUGGUGAGGUAAAUGGCUCACCAAGGCGACGAUCCGUAACUGGUCUGAGAGGAUGAUCAGUCACACUGGAGCUGAGACACGGUCCAGACUCCUACGGGAGGCAGCAGUGGGGAAUAUUGGACAAUGGGCGAAAGCCUGAUCCAGCCAUGCCGCGUGUGUGAAGAAGGUCUUCGGAUUGUAAAGCAACUUUAAGUGGGAGGAAGGGCAGUAGAUUAAUACUUUGCUGUUUCGACGUUACCGACAGAAUAAGCACCGGCUAACU
RNAcentral lists this ribosomal RNA (499 nucleotides) under uncultured bacterium. RNAcentral describes it as "bacterial SSU rRNA". It matches the Rfam family "Bacterial small subunit ribosomal RNA", at positions 9 to 502 of the family's 1533-position model. The record is from RNAcentral.